AUAAAAUCGUAGAAUUCAGUCGAAAAUUUGAUACUUUUUACAUUGAAAUCAAUUGAAAAAGAUUCAUUUUCUUGUGCUAAAAGUUACAGAGUAAAUAUAUAUGCGGUGUAUAUAAACCAAUCAUUUUUAUGGAUUUUAUACGGUCAAGAAAUGGUAUCGAGAGACUUCGCAAGAUGGCCACUGACAGAGGUUUUAUAGAGGAUCUAGAUUAUUACAAACUAUUAGAUGUUUUUAUAAUAUUAAAAUAUGUAGAAUGCUUUAUGGGCAAUUGUGGACCUGUUAGCCUAUUUUGUUUAUUACAAUCACAGUGAUACUUUAAUUGGUGCAUUGUAUUGAUAUUUAAAAUAAGCAUGAAUCAAAAUACUUCCUCUGUUAAUACUCUAGCUAUAUCAUUCCUUUGUUCUUUGAUUUAACAUUGUGCCAGUGCCGUAGCCAGAACGAUAAUUGGGGGGGGCACAUAUUCAUAUAUUCGUGUUCUGCUUUAUUAAUUUCUUUUGAAAUCAAUUGUUUUUAUGGUAUGUGAACACGAAUAUAUGAAUAUGUGCCCCCCCCCAAUUAUCGUUCUGGCUACGGCACUGCAUUGUACAUUGCAUUACAUUCAUACAAACAGUUCCAUGGUUAUAUCUAUUUAAUUUAUUUAUUAAUUGAGUCAUAAAAAAUUAUGUUGACAAUUAAUUAUGCUUGAAAAUAACUUAAUUAAAUGGAAUUAUGACAUAGUGUUUGAACUUUGAAAUGUUUUUGCUGAUAUAAUAUUAUCAUUUA
Paramuricea clavata is the source of this 762-nucleotide non-coding RNA. The record is from the annotation of a GenBank genome assembly. Lineage: Eukaryota; Metazoa; Cnidaria; Anthozoa; Malacalcyonacea; Plexauridae.